RNAcentral lists this transfer RNA (73 nucleotides) under Anguilla anguilla (European eel). RNAcentral describes it as "tRNA-OTHER". Lineage: Eukaryota; Metazoa; Chordata; Actinopteri; Anguilliformes; Anguillidae. The record is from RNAcentral.
GGAGCGGUGGUGCAGUGGGUAGCAUUGUCACCUCAUAGCAAGAAGGUCCUGGGUUCGAAUCCGACCUGGCCUU